This 74-nucleotide transfer RNA is filed under the name Ostreobium quekettii. RNAcentral's name for it is "tRNA-Thr". It matches the Rfam family "tRNA". Rfam says of the family: Transfer RNA (tRNA) molecules are approximately 80 nucleotides in length. Their secondary structure includes four short double-helical elements and three loops (D, anti-codon, and T loops). Further hydrogen bonds mediate the characteristic L-shaped molecular structure. tRNAs have two regions of fundamental functional importance: the anti-codon, which is responsible for specific mRNA codon recognition, and the 3' end, to which the tRNAs corresponding amino acid is attached (by aminoacyl-tRNA synthetases). tRNAs cope with the degeneracy of the genetic code in two manners: having more than one tRNA (with a specific anti-codon) for a particular amino acid; and 'wobble' base-pairing, i.e. permitting non-standard base-pairing at the 3rd anti-codon position. Lineage: Eukaryota; Viridiplantae; Chlorophyta; Ulvophyceae; Bryopsidales; Ostreobiaceae. The record is from RNAcentral.
GCCUGCUUAGCUUCAAUUGGUAGAGCAUCGGUUUUGUAAACCGAGGGUUAUCGGUUCAACUCCGGUAGCAGGCU